The sequence is a transfer RNA, 85 nucleotides long. It matches the Rfam family "tRNA". Rfam says of the family: Transfer RNA (tRNA) molecules are approximately 80 nucleotides in length.
GGAGGGGUGUCCGAGUGGUCGAAGGAGCGCGCCUGGAAAGUGCGUAAGUCGAAAGGCUUCGAGGGUUCGAAUCCCUCCCCCUCCG